UGACGCUGGCGGUAGGCUUAACACAUGCAAGUCGAGCGAGAAAGUAUCUUCGGAUAUGAGUAGAGCGGCGGACGGGUGAGUAACGCGUAGGAAUCUACCUAGUAGAAGGGGAUAGCCCGGGGAAACUCGGAUUAAUACCGUAUACCUCCUUCGGGAGAAAGAAGGCCUCUCUUUGAAGCUUUCGCUAUUAGAUGAGCCUGCGUAAGAUUAGCUUGUUGGUGAGGUAAAGGCUCACCAAGGCAACGAUCUUUAGCGGGUCUGAGAGGACGAUCCGCCACAUUGGGACUGAGACACGGCCCAGACUCCUACGGGAGGCAGCAGUGGGGAAUAUUGGACAAUGGGCGCAAGCCUGAUCCAGCCAUACCGCGUGUGUGAAGAAGGCCCUAGGGUUGUAAAGCACUUUAAGUUGGGAAGAAAAGUUAUUGGUUAAUACCCAAUAACCGUGACAUUACCAUCAGAAUAAGGACCGGCUAAUUCCGUGCCAGCAGCCGCGGUAAUACGGAAGGUCCAAGCGUUAAUCGGAAUUACUGGGCGUAAAGCGCGCGUAGGUGGUUUAUUAAGUUGGAUGUGAAAUCCCCGGGCUCAACCUGGGAACUGCAUCCAAAACUGAUUCACUAGAGUACGAUAGAGGGAGGUAGAAUUCACAGUGUAGCGGUGGAAUGCGUAGAUAUUGUGAAGAAUACCAAUGGCGAAGGCAGCCUCCUGGAUCUGUACUGACACUGAGGUGCGAAAGCGUGGGUAGCGAACAGGAUUAGAUACCCUGGUAGUCCACGCCGUAAACGAUGUCAACUAGCUGUUGGGGAACUAUGUUCUUCAGUGGCGCAGCUAACGUAGUAAGUUGACCGCCUGGGGAGUACGGCCGCAAG
Molecule: ribosomal RNA, 866 nt
Filed under: uncultured Gammaproteobacteria bacterium
Lineage: Bacteria; Pseudomonadati; Pseudomonadota; Gammaproteobacteria
Description: bacterial SSU rRNA
Rfam family: Bacterial small subunit ribosomal RNA
Source: RNAcentral